RNAcentral lists this ribosomal RNA (673 nucleotides) under uncultured bacterium. RNAcentral's name for it is "bacterial SSU rRNA". It matches the Rfam family "Bacterial small subunit ribosomal RNA", at positions 28 to 700 of the family's 1533-position model. The record is from RNAcentral.
AUUGAACGCUGGCGGCAUGCCUUACACAUGCAAGUCGAACGGUAGAGUAGCAAUACUCGAGAGUGGCGAACGGGUGAGUAAUAUAUCGGAACGUGCCCAGUCGUGGGGGAUAACGUAGAGAAAUUUACGCUAAUACCGCAUACGAUCUACGGAUGAAAGCGGGGGACUCGCAAGAGCCUCGCGCGAUUGGAGCGGCUGAUAUCAGAUUAGGUUGUUGGUGAGGUAAAAGCUCACCAAGCCGACGAUCUGUAGCUGGUUUGAGAGAACGACCAGCCACACUGGGACUGAGACACGGCCCAGACUCCUACGGGAGGCAGCAGUGGGGAAUUUUGGACAAUGGGCGAAAGCCUGAUCCAGCAAUGCCGCGUGUGGGAAGAAGGCCUUCGGGUUGUAAACCACUUUUGUACGGAACGAAACGCCUCGCUUUAAUACAGUGGGGUAAUGACGGUACCGUAAGAAUAAGCACCGGCUAACUACGUGCCAGCAGCCGCGGUAAUACGUAGGGUGCGAGCGUUAAUCGGAAUUACUGGGCGUAAAGCGUGCGCAGGCGGUUAUAUAAGACAGUUGUGAAAUCCCCGGGCUCAACCUGGGAAUUGCAUCUGUGACUGUAUAGCUAGAGUACGGUAGAGGGGGAUGGAAUUCCGCGUGUAGCAGUGAAAUGCGUAGAUAUGCG